AGUGAACGCUGGCGGUAGGCCUAACACAUGCAAGUCGAACGGCAGCGCAGUAAGAGCUUGCUCUUACGGGUGGCGAGUGGCGGACGGGUGAGGAAUACAUCGGAAUCUACUUUUUCGUGGGGGAUAACGUAGGUAAACUUACGCUAAUACCGCAUACGACCUACGGGUGAAAGCAGGGGAUCUUCGGACCUUGCGCGAUUGAAUGAGCCGAUGUCGGAGUAGCUAGUUGGCGGGGUAAAGGCCCACCAAGGCGACGAUCCGUAGCUGGUCUGAGAGGAUAAUCAGCCACACUGGAACUGAGACACGGUCCAGACUCCUACGGGAGGCAGCAGUGGGGAAUAUUGGACAAUGGGCGCAAGCCUGAUCCAGCCAUACCGCGUGGGUGAAGAAGGCCUUCGGGUUGUAAAGCCCUUUUGUUGGGAAAGAAAAGCAGCAGGUUAAUACCCCGCUGUUCUGACGGUACCCAAAGAAUAAGCACCGGCUAACUUCGUG
Molecule: ribosomal RNA, 492 nt
Filed under: uncultured bacterium
Lineage: Bacteria
Description: partial 16S ribosomal RNA
Rfam family: Bacterial small subunit ribosomal RNA
Source: RNAcentral